GAUGAACGCUAGCGACAGGCUUAACACAUGCAAGUCGAGGGGCAGCGGGGCAGCAAUGCCUGCCGGCGACCGGCGCACGGGUGAGUAACGCGUAUGCAACUUGCCUAUCAGAGGGGAAUAGCCCGGCGAAAGUCGGAUUAAUGCUCCAUAAACCAGGGGUCCCGCAUGGGAAUAUUUGUUAAAGAUUCAUCGCUGAUAGAUAGGCAUGCGUUCCAUUAGGCAGUUGGCGGGGUAACGGCCCACCAAACCGACGAUGGAUAGGGGUUCUGAGAGGAAGGUCCCCCACAUUGGAACUGAGACACGGUCCAA
RNAcentral lists this ribosomal RNA (309 nucleotides) under uncultured bacterium. Its description in RNAcentral is "bacterial SSU rRNA". It matches the Rfam family "Bacterial small subunit ribosomal RNA", at positions 28 to 334 of the family's 1533-position model. The record is from RNAcentral.